GCCAGGCAUGGUGGCGCAUGCCUGAAAUCCCAGCAUCUCCAGAGGCUGAGGCAGGAGGAUAGCAAGUUCAAAGUCAGCUUCAGCAACUUAGUGUGAACCUGUCUCAA
Molecule: small RNA, 107 nt
Filed under: Marmota monax (woodchuck)
Lineage: Eukaryota; Metazoa; Chordata; Mammalia; Rodentia; Sciuridae
Source: RNAcentral